AUGUUAACGUAUGAUAUGCUAACAUCGGUUUUUCAAAAAACCGAUGUUAACGUAUAUGCAUUAACAU
This is a non-coding RNA of Glycine soja, 67 nucleotides long. The record is from Rfam. NCBI's taxonomy places the organism in Eukaryota, Viridiplantae, Streptophyta, Magnoliopsida, Fabales, Fabaceae.